Non-coding RNA from Pelobates cultripes (western spadefoot toad), 341 nucleotides. The record is from the annotation of a GenBank genome assembly. NCBI's taxonomy places the organism in Eukaryota, Metazoa, Chordata, Amphibia, Anura, Pelobatidae.
GUGCAGAGGAAAUUAAAAGCUUAAACGGUGACAUGCUUAGUACACAAUAUCAUGGCAAACAAUUGGCAAAUAUAGUCAAGAGGUGCUGCACUUUUUUUUUUUUUAUUAAAAGUAGGAACAUGAGUUAAACAAGAUGUAAUAUAAAUCCAAUAACCAGCUUGGAGAAUAGUGUGUCGUAGUAUUAGUAUCAAGGCAUUGAUAUGGUUAUGCUUGAACAUGCAUGAGUGAGGGACAUAUAUUUUGUGCAGUAACGACAGGUCUGAACAGUCAUAACACAUGCUUAUAUCACAGAUUUAGAGAGCAGUCCUGUACUUAGUUAGUCAUAGGCAAUUAUAAAAAAC